GACGAACGCUGGCGGCGUGCCUAAUACAUGCAAGUCGAACGCAGUGGGAACGAGUGAGUAACACGUGGGUAACCUCCCAUCAGAGGGGAUAACACUUGGAAACAGAUGCUAAAGCGUUACUGAUGGGUGGACCCGCGGUGCAUUAGCUAGUUGGUGGGGUAACGGCUCAACAAGGCCACGAUGCAUAGCGGACCUGAGAGGGUGAUCGGCCAAACUGGGACUGAGACACGCCCCAGACUCCUCCGGGAGGAAGCAUGAGGGAAUCUUCGGCAAUGGACGAAAGUCGGACCGAGAAACGCGGCGUGAGUGAAGAAGGUUUUCGGAUCGUAAAACUCUGUUGUUAGAGAAGCGGUAUCUAACCAGAAAGCCACGGCUAACUACGUGCCAGCAGCCGCGGUAAUAC
This 403-nucleotide ribosomal RNA is filed under the name uncultured bacterium. RNAcentral describes it as "partial 16S ribosomal RNA". It matches the Rfam family "Bacterial small subunit ribosomal RNA", at positions 28 to 526 of the family's 1533-position model. The record is from RNAcentral.